GGGUCAUGGAUAACUAGCUAUUCCCACCUCCAACCAGAACUGUUUCUUUUCCUUGGGAAUGGUUUCCAGUUUCAAGGAAGGUAAAGAAUAAGAUAUAGACAUCUGUGGAGGCCUCCAAUAGUUAAUCCUGGAACUAUCUGGAUGCUGGGACAUGUAGUCAUCUGACUACAGUGGAAUCUUUGGACUCUACUAAGAACCCUUUGAAGGAAAAAUAUAUGAGACUUUAGUAUCUAAGGGCCAGAUGAAGACCUAGAUAGUGGCAAUGAGGACCCCAGGGCAAAACCUAGAGAUGCAUAUGUCGAGCAGAGUUUGAACAUAACAGAUGUGUUGACUUCAGAUUUGGAGCCAGGUUCUGAGAUGAGCCCCAGGCAGCUUUGAGAAGGUGCUCAUUAGGAGUGAAGCUGGGAUCCUGGGCUGGCAACUCUGGCUUACACUGCGCUCAUAAAAGUGAGCCAUCCUGGAAGUGGAUUCUCCAGCCUACGUCUAGCCAUACCAGUUGAUACUCUCUCUAUGGAGCAGAGAGGAGCUAUCUCACUCAAGCCCUCUGGAAUUGCAGAUCAGCAAUCAAAGUAAUUAACUGUUUUUGGUUUGUGCCACUAACUCUUGAGGUCGUUGCCUACACAACUAUAGAUAAUCAGAAGAGAAAUCAUUACCUCAUAAAACUUUCUGUAAACGUAAUGCAAUUCAGUGAUAUACAGCAUGCCUUUUGUUACUUAGAAUAUUUUUUCCAUCUUUGUGGCUGAGGUAUAACUAAAAUUAGUUGAAAUUUUUCUUUUGAAUGAAAUUUUCUAUACAUAUUUUAUAUACUUGAAAUACUUGUCCAUUAUUUGAUGUAAGGAUGCUGAACAUUGGCAAGGAUAUGUAAGAUUCUUCCUCUGGGAAAUGUGGGCAAUAUAAAUAUAACUAAGAUCUCUUAAGGAAUAAAUUGCCUUGUAAGAUAUAUCACAUGAUACAAAAUAUCUAUAUCUAUUUUAAAGAGAAUUACUUAUGAGACUGAUGAGACUACACAGCAAAGGUCACACCUUGUUUGUUGGAAUUUUGCCUGAAGUUAUUUACUAUUAUGGUAAAGUUAAGAGGCUGAACUGAAAGGGAUAUGAACUUUUUGGAAAUCUUAUUCUUUUCAUCAAAGUUGCAUUAUUACAUACUGAUGGAAUACUUCAAGCUGAAUAAAGUGUCUUAACACUCUGCAAUCCAGAGUAUUUGCCACUAGUAAAAAUUACUCUGGACACUUACCUAGGUGACUUCAACUAACAGAGAGAGGUAGAGACAGUUAGACUGUAACCAGUGCUAAACUAGUUACCUACAUACAGAUAUUUAAAAAUGAUUUUAUCAUAAAAAUGAUGCUGAAUUCUAUAGUUUUUAUACACAUUAUUUUAGAAAGUUAACAUGCACAAUCAAACAUAUUGCUGUUUUUACCUAUUAUGUAUACACAUACACCUCAAUGCUGAAUCUUUCCAAAUAUUCAAGUGGGCUUUUAGCUUGAAGAAUUGUAAAUCUGCUUCUCUACUUAGAAGCUAUAAGAAUCUGGAAUCAAAGAACAUUCUAGACAAAAAUGUAUCAUAAGAAGUCUUAAAUUGUAGCAAACAAUUUAUGUUAAACAUACCUGUAUUAGAACUUCGUAUUAAAACAGAAUUGCCCGUGGCUUUAAUUAAAUACAAUUUGAUAUAUAAGUGAGCUACUGUAAAUUCUCUACCUCACUUUCAGAUUUUUAUAUUCCUUGGAAUAAAAUGGAGCAUAAGAAUUUUCUCCAAUAACUUAUUUUCUUCAAUAGAACUUUGGAGGACAUUUGUGGCUACUGAGUAUUUCUUUUGAAGGACAUUUCUUUUGAAGAACAUGUAUUUUAAGAAGCUUACAAAUGUGAAUUUUCCCCAUAUUGAACAUACUUUUUACUUAAAUAUCGUCAUAUUGUUCCUUUUUGUUUCUAGUCCUUUCUAUCUUCCAUCACUAAUUGUGGACCUAACCGAUGCAUUGUUUCUGUUUUCCGUUUUUCAUUUGCUUUUUAAACCUAUUUUCAGAAAAAUCUACUUAAAAACAAUAGAAAAUAAAUGAAAGCCCUGUUUUCAGUUUACAGCUGGGAUUUUGCACAGCAUGUAAUACUAACUGCAUCUGUGCAGAAAUACUACCAUAUGGGCGGGAGGGGAAUCAUUUAAUUUAGUUCAUAUGCAAGAAGUAAGUGAAGAGUUGACUAUAUUUUAAACCUCACCAAAGCUAAGCAACAGCAGAAUUAGGAACAGAAUCCAAAAAGUUUCAUAAUCAGUCUUAUGUUCUUUCUAGUAAACUACACCAUCUUUUAAGGCUGUUCACUUGUACAGUGCGAAUAAUAUAUCUUCUUACUUUGAAAUGUAUUUUUAAGAUCAGUGUAAAUAAUAUAUUUUCAUUUACUAUUUAUAUCUUUCAAUUUUUUGUCAAAAUAUCAUAAAUAUGUUAUUUCAGAGAAAAUAAAACAUGUAUAAUACUUGAAAAUAACAAUCAUUUCUGGAAAAAAAUCUACAUGUAUUGCAUGAAUAAGGACACAAUUUUAAUCUAAGUAAUAUAACUUAACUGAUGCAAGCCCAUAGAGAUUAAAGACAGUUUAUUACAGUUGAUCCUGACUAAUGGGACAGUGGUCUUUCAGAGAUAAAGGGGAGACAGGAUUGAACAUGAUAAGGAUAGCUCAAGAAUAGAGAACAUAAACCUAAAAAGGAAAUUUACAUUUAUUAUUUUCAAUAAUGAGGUCAUGAAAAUAUUCCAUUUGCUUUAUAGGAAAAAUGCUCACACAAAUUAUUUCAGGGGAGCUUUUAGUGAAUAAGCCUUCAAUUUCCUCAUCUGUAAUAUGGGAAUAAUAAUGUCUAUGAGGUGGAAUCACUGAGAAUAUUAGUAUGGACGUACGUUCUGUGUCUUCUUGGGGAAGAAACUUUUAGGAAGAUUCACUACUCUUUUUAAAAAAUGUUAUUUACUGCUACAGAAAAAUGUCUCCUCUGUAAAGUCUUAUUUAAUUAUGGGAGAACCAUUAAAACCAUGAUCUCAUAGUGAAUUGUGUAAAAAUAAAAUAAUGAAGACUUACAUCUAUUACAAAUAGGAGAGUAUUUCUUUUAUACAAAAAUAUAGCCCAUUAAUAAAUCACCAAUGUAGAUGUUACACAUGGUACUAUCUACAGAUUAGAAGAGGUCUCUCAAUCAGACUAAACUGAAACAACUAUUAGGAUUAAUCAACAUUUUUCAUGGCCUUGAUGGUGAUACUUGUUGUAAUUUCUGAUUUAAUUUAAAUGAAUAGUUUGAUAAACUAAUGAAAACUGCUUGUAAAAGAGUAAUAUAUUCUAUUAAAGUUAAAUGCAUAGUUUACUCUUAAAAAGUGAGUCAUUAAUAAAAUGCUGCCAUACAAGAUGCAGAUAAGGCAACCGUAAAAGCAAUAAAAGUAAAGUUUACUGAAUAACCAGAUUUUAAAGAAAUCCAUGCUUCUGGUUAUUUCAUAUUUUUAUUUGGUAUUUUGUUCAACCUUUUUAGUCAACGAGUCAGUAGCAUGACUAUAUUUAACAAUAAUCAAUUGUACAUUUCAGAAUAGCUAAAGGAGAAUAAUUUGAAUGUUUCUAGCGUAAAGAAAAGAUAAAUAUUUAAGGUGACGGAUAUCUCAAUUAUCCUGAUUUGAUUAUAUGCAUUUUUCAAAUUAUCACAGGUACCCCACAAAUAUGUACAUCCAUUAUGUUUCCAUCAAUCAAACCUCUUCAAAAAUAUAUGCAUGAUUUAUUAAAGAAAGAUUCCGUAGGCUUUGAAC
Molecule: long non-coding RNA, 3750 nt
Filed under: Homo sapiens (human)
Lineage: Eukaryota; Metazoa; Chordata; Mammalia; Primates; Hominidae
Description: long intergenic non-protein coding RNA 320
Source: RNAcentral